RNAcentral lists this small nuclear RNA (107 nucleotides) under Microcebus murinus (gray mouse lemur). Lineage: Eukaryota; Metazoa; Chordata; Mammalia; Primates; Cheirogaleidae. The record is from RNAcentral.
GUGUUCACUUUGGCAGCACAUAUACUAAAAUUGGCCCAAUACAGAUGAAAUUAGCAUGGCCCCUGUGCAAAGAUGACACACAAAUUUGUGAAGUGUUCCAUAUUUUU